Non-coding RNA from Vigna umbellata (rice bean), 477 nucleotides. The record is from RefSeq and is a predicted model, not a curated record. Lineage: Eukaryota; Viridiplantae; Streptophyta; Magnoliopsida; Fabales; Fabaceae.
AAGGUUUUACAGUUAAAAAUCCACCAUGAAAAGGUUUUAUACAAAAGUUCCACAGAAGCAUGUUGCAUAGCAUUGGGUUUGGAGAUAUUUCCAAAGUCCUUAACUACUGUUAACCUACUUCUCAUCAAAGCACAGCAUUGUUUUUAUCGACCCAGUUCCUAGAAUUCCACAGCCCCCAUUGUCUAACAGAUAUCAACAUACAAGGCCCAGUUUUGCAUUUCCUAUUCCUUUCUCUCCAGAUCUAGGUGCUCUGCCAUUAUUGCACAUUUGUACGAGAUGGCAACAACAACAGUGACCAACUUUCCAACUGCGAUGUCAAGACCCAAUUAUUCCAUCAUCACAAAGGUUUGCAAAUGUAAGCCCUUGCCAAUCUUGGAGGCAGGUUAAGGUUGAUGAAUCAUGUCAUAAACUGGCAAGUGUUUGUCAUGUUGCAUCAUCACAACCUUUCUUGAAAAUGACAGCAGCCGCUGUAACAUA